GGAAGUGAAUUAAGGGCGUAUGGGGGAUGCCUUGGCUCUUGAAGGCGAUGAAGGACGUGUUAAGCUGCGAUAAGCUGCGGGGAGCUGCACAAAAGUGUUGAUCCGUAGAUUUCCGAAUGGGGCAACCCGGCUAGUUGAAGACUAGUCACUCCUCGAAUGAGGUAGAGCAAACCCGGAGAACUGAAACAUCUAAGUACCCGGAGGAAGAGAAAACAAAAGUGAUUCCGUAAGUAGUGGCGAGCGAACGCGGAUUAGCCCAAACCAGAUUUGUUACGGCAAAGCUGGGGUUGUAGGACUUCUUUUUAGAAAGAUAAGGAAUCUGAAUUGUCUGGGAAGGCAAGCCAUAGCGGGUGAUAGCCCCGUAAGAGUAAAAUUAUCAGACGUAGGAGUAUCCUGAGUAGGGGGGGACAGGAGAAAUCCCCUUUGAAUCUGCCGGCACCAUCCGGUAAGGCUAAAUACUUUCAAGAGACCGAUAGCGAACUAGUACUGUGAAGGAAAGGUGAAAAGUACCCCGAGUAGGGGGGUGAAAAGACCCUGAAACCAUACGCUUACAAGCGGUCGGAGCUGCGCGAUGCAGUGACGGCGUGCCUUUUGCAUAAUGAGCCUACGAGUUACUCUUCCUGGCAAGGUUAAGUGGUGUAGCCACGCAGCCGGAGCGAAAGCGAGUCUGAAUAGGGCGGUUAGUCAGGGGGAGUAGACGCGAAACUUUGUGAUCUACCCAUGAGCAGGUUGAAGUGUUGGUAACACAACAUGGAGGACCGAACCAGUUUACGUUGAAAAGUAUUUGGAUGACUUGUGGGUAGGGGUGAAAGGCCAAUCAAACUGAGAAAUAGCUCGUACUCCCCGAAAUGUUUUUAGGAACAGCCUCGGACGUAUUCUCAUGCAGGUAAAGCUACCGAUAGGACUAGGGGGAGUCAAAUCCUACCAAAUCCUGACGAACUCUGAAUGGCAUGAGAUUUAUCCGGGAGUGAGGGCUGGGGUGCUAAGGUCCCAGUCCGAGAGGGAAAGAACCCAGACCAACAGCUAAGGUCCCCAAAUCUAUACUAAGUUGAACAAAGGAGGUCUGAUUGCAGAGACAGCCAGGAUGUUAGCUUGGAAGCAGCUAUUCAUUUAAAGAGUGCGUAACAGCUCACUGGUCGAGCGAGGCGGGCAUCGAUAAUAAACGGGCAUCAAGUAUAGUACCGAAGCUUUGGAUUAUAUAUUUAUAUAUACUGGUAGGGGAGCAUUCUGAAUGCAGUGAAGGAUAGGCGACAAGCCUUACUGGAGCGUUCAGAAAAGCAAAUGUAGGCAUAAGUAACGAUAAUGUGGGCGAGAAACCCACACGCCGAAAGACUAAGGUUUCCUCAGCUAUGCUAAUCAACUGAGGGUUAGUCGGGGGCUAAGGGUCUAGCGAGAGCGACAAUCUAAUGCACAACAGGUUAAUAUUCCUGUACUUAUUAUGAGGGAGAAACAAUGACGGAGCAUCGUGGUUUUCAGGUACUGACGGAAUAGUGCCUUAGAGAAGAAGUCGCAAGACAGAAACGAGAGAGCGAAGAAGCUUCCAAGAAAAGUUGUGGAUCAAUACUUUAUAAUAACCCGUACCGUAAACCGACACAGGUGGUCGAGAAGAGAAUUCUAAGGCGCUCGAGUGAAUCACGGCUAAGGAACUCGGCAAAUUAACCCUGUAACUUCGGGAGAAGGGGGGCCUACUCGCAAGAGAGGUCGCAGAGAAAUGGCCCAGGCGACUGUUUAACAAAAACACAUGGCUAUGCAAAAUCGAAAGAUGACGUAUAUGGCCUGACACCUGCCCGGUGCUGGAAGGUUAAGAGGGGAUGUUAGCGCAAGCGAAGCAUUGAAUUGAAGCCCCAGUAAACGGCGGCCGUAACUAUAACGGUCCUAAGGUAGCGAAAUUCCUUGUCGGGUAAGU
This 1906-nucleotide ribosomal RNA is filed under the name Triticum turgidum subsp. durum (durum wheat). RNAcentral describes it as "bacterial LSU rRNA". It matches the Rfam family "Bacterial large subunit ribosomal RNA", at positions 1 to 1981 of the family's 2925-position model. The record is from RNAcentral. Lineage: Eukaryota; Viridiplantae; Streptophyta; Magnoliopsida; Poales; Poaceae.